Molecule: small nuclear RNA, 111 nt
Filed under: Corchorus olitorius
Lineage: Eukaryota; Viridiplantae; Streptophyta; Magnoliopsida; Malvales; Malvaceae
Description: U2 spliceosomal RNA
Rfam family: U2 spliceosomal RNA
About the family: U2 is a small nuclear RNA (snRNA) component of the spliceosome (involved in pre-mRNA splicing). Complementary binding between U2 snRNA (in an area lying towards the 5' end but 3' to hairpin I) and the branchpoint sequence (BPS) of the intron results the bulging out of an unpaired adenosine, on the BPS, which initiates a nucleophilic attack at the intronic 5' splice site, thus starting the first of two transesterification reactions that mediate splicing.
Source: Rfam by way of RNAcentral
AUACCUUUCUCGGCCUUUUGGCUAAGAUCAAGUGUAGUAUCUGUUCUUGCUACUGAAAUCCUCGAGCGUCGCCUAUGCGUUGCACUACAGCAUUGGCCUGGCGCACCCCAC